UGGGGAAUAUUGGACAAUGGGGGAAACCCUGAUCCAGCAACGCCGUGUGGGUGAUGAAGGUUUUCGGAUCGUAAAGCCCUGUCAGUUGGGAAUAAAUCAAUAAGCAUCAGAUCCUUAUUGUUGAAUGUACCAACAAAGGAAGCACCGGCUAACUCCGUGCCAGCAGCCGCGGUAAUACGAAGGGGGCUAGCGUUGUUCGGAAUUACUGGGCGUAAAGCGCACGUAGGCGGAUUGUUAAGUCAGAGGUGAAAUCCCGGAGCUCAACUUCGGAACUGCCUUUGAUACUGGCAAUCUAGAGUCCGGAAGAGGUUAGUGGAAUUCCCAGUGUAGAGGUGAAAUUCGUAGAUAUUGGGAAGAACACCAGUGGCGAAGGCGGCUAACUGGUCCGGUACUGACGCUGAGGUGCGAAAGCGUGGGGAGCAAACAGGAUUAGAUACCCCUGUAGUCCCUGAGCGGGCUGGCAAGGCGCAU
This 471-nucleotide ribosomal RNA is filed under the name uncultured bacterium. Its description in RNAcentral is "bacterial SSU rRNA". It matches the Rfam family "Bacterial small subunit ribosomal RNA", at positions 355 to 825 of the family's 1533-position model. The record is from RNAcentral.